GAUUCAUGUUCAGGACUUUCACAGGUGAGGGCUGGAAACCUCUCUUCAGCUCAGCAGUCCAUCCCCCGUCCCUCCCAUCUGCAACCCUAGAAGCAAAGAUGGUACACCACCCUUCUGGCCUCAGCUUUCAGUUUCCUGUCUUGGCUGCAACUGUGGAAAUAGUGAAGAUAUUGUGAGACAGAAAGUCAGUCUGGAACAAAGAGGUAUACACCUGCUAAGAAGGUGGCCCAGAAGCCUGAUUCUAGAAGUCCUAAAGGCUACAGAGCACCACCACCCCACCUGCCCCUAAUGCAUUCCAUGGGCCUCAACCUCUUGGGGGAAGAAAAUAUUUCCCAAGGUCUGUUGUAAAAAGAAAAUAGGGACCAGGCGCAGUGGCUCACGCCUGUAAUCCCAAGCAUUUUGGAAGGCCAAGGCAGGCAGAUUACUUGAGGUCAGGAGUUCAGGACCACCUGGCCAACAUGAUGAAGCCCCAUCUCUACUGAAAAUACAAAAAUUAGCCAGGCGUGGUGGCUCACACCUAUAAUCCCAGCUACUUGGGAGGCUGAGGCAGGAGAAUCGCUUGAACCCAGGAAGCAGAGGUUGCAGUGAGCCAAGAUCUAAUGACUACGCUCCAGCCUGGGCAACAGAGCAAGACUCCAUCGCAAAAAAAAAAAAAAAAAAAAAGACAUAGGAAGAGGUGUGUACCAUAACUUUUAAAUCCCAUUAUCCACUUUCCUUCUCACCACCAUCCUUCAUUCAAGAGCCUCAUUCUAUUCUUUAGCACUUUGAGGUGUGGAGACAGUGGAGGAACACGGAGAAAAAAAAUCGGGGGGUAGGGGUGUGGUGGCUCAUGCCUGUAAUCCCAGCACUUUGGAAGGCUGAGGUGGGUGGAUCACGGAUCACCUGAGGUUAGGAAUUCAAGACCAGCCUGGCCAACAUGGCGAAACCCCCGACUCUAACUAAAAAAAAAAAAAAAAAAAAAAAUUAAGCCAGGCAUGGUGGUAGGCUCCUGUAAUCCCAGCUACUCGGGAGCCUGAGGCAGGAGAAUCGCUUGAACCCAGGAGACGAAGGUUGCAGUGAGCCGGGAUCGCGCCAUUGCACUCCAUCCUGGGCGACAAGAGCGAAACUCUGUCUCAAAAAAAAAAAAAAAAAAAAGCGGGGUGGGGGGAAAUCAGGAGGAGAAAAGAAUUGGGCGAUUUGGAUCAAUACUUAACCAGGAAUGGAGUGGGCAGGAGCUGAGGGUUAAGGCUGCCUCUCACCACCCCACACACCCCCAGUAGAAGCACUAGAUGAAGGGAAGGGUGGAGAGGCAAGGGGCUAUAUCAGAUUUUUCCAUUUUCAGAAUCCUGUUCUGGCUGCAGGUUUGUGCCAGGAGUAAAGGCUGCUGGGAGGGGCAGCCGGAGGAGGGAGGUGGAGCUGAGUGACUCACAAGAUGAGUCACAGAUCCAGUUAUAAGCACAGAAAGAGGCCAAGGUCCUUCCCACCCCUACUCCUCUUAACUGCUGCCAGCCAGCUUCCGUUGCUCUUUUGUACUGCCCCUUACCCACUUGGCCAAUGCAAGAGAUGGCACAGAGAAAGUCUACAUGGGGACAUCGUAAUAUUUUGUUACCCAACUGAUGUAUGGUGGCAAAAUACCCUGUGAUUUGCAGACUGGCUGUCUGCAAAGUAGAAGAGACAGAAUGCCUGCAUGACUCAUCCAGAUCUAUAGUUGAAAGGCCUGGAGGGAAAGAAGGAAAUUAGAAAAAUCUGGAGUGCAGGUGAUUCCAGGCCGGGAAGGGGCUUCUAAUUCUGUCUUCUCACCUGUGGCUAUAUGUCUGGGGCACUGACUCAUUGGAGAAGGAAGACACAGAGGCCAGUCGCGGUGGCUCAUGCCUGUAAUCCCAGCACUUUGGGAGGCCGAGGCUGGCGGAUCACCUGAGGUCAGGAGUUCAAGAUCAGCCUGGCCAACAUGGUGAAACCCCAUCUCUACUAAAAUACAAAAAUUAGCCGGGCAUGAUUGCGGGUGCCUGUAAUCCCAGCCACCUGGGAGGCUGAGACAGGAGAAUCACUUGAACCCAGGAGACGGUGGUUGGAGUGAGCCGAGAUUGCACCACUGCACUCCAGCCUGGGCAGCUGAGCGAGACUCCGUCUCAAACCAAAAAAAAAAGAAAGAAAGAAAAAGGAAAAAGAAAGAAGACUCAGAGUCCAGAGGUGUCUGAGUAAUUCAGAGACAAUCAUCUCUGAAAUACUCUUUAUUGAGAAAAAAAAAUGUGACUGGAACCUUGGACACAUGGCUAAAAGGAGUUAAGAAUGGCAAAAGCUAGGUUCUCAGAACACAUUCAAAACCAGCUUUAUUCUUUUGGGCUCAGUAUCACCCCGCAGAUAUACAACACGAAGUCACUGCUAAUUCUUGUUUGUCUGUGGGCCUUAGUUUCGCUUGAUAGAAAAAAAAAAACUGAGCUAAUAGAGGGAAGGUACUUCCCUUCCACUGCCCUCUACAGCACUGAGUUUAACACCAUCUCCACUCCUUAAAAAGACUGAAUCUUUAAAAAAUCUUUGGAUAUAAUCUUUUUA
Molecule: long non-coding RNA, 2532 nt
Filed under: Homo sapiens (human)
Lineage: Eukaryota; Metazoa; Chordata; Mammalia; Primates; Hominidae
Description: HSALNT0295639
Source: RNAcentral